CAGUAGAUGGAUCCUGAUCAAUGCUGAAAAGCUUUUUCUUGUGCAUCAAAAAAUAGAGCGAGGAUCUCUGAAGACUCUGUGACUUGGCAAAGUGAAGAACACCAGAAAGGCAGAGUGAAGAACACAAGAUCGUGUAACUUGUCUUCUGCAUAUUCAGGGUACGGUGUUCCCAUUGCUUCAUCUUUUACCGACGAUUGAGAUGAAGAAAAGCAAUUGCAGACUCCAUCUUUGUUCUUCUGCUUCGUUUGCAUCUCAAUUUUGGAGAAACUUUGAUAUCUUGGUUUCAAUCCUCCAAGACAAGCUAUCAUGACAACACAAGCAUCAACAUCAUCUUCCAUCCGUGAUCAUUGGACUUACGAUGUCUUUAUCAAUUUUAGAGGAGAAGAUACUCGUUAUGGUUUUACAGGAAAUCUAUAUCAUGAUCUAACUAAAAAGGGAGUUCACACCUUCUUUGAUGAUGAGGAAAUAAGAAAGGGAGAUGAAAUUACUCCAACACUUUACAAAGCAAUCGAAGAAUCUAGGAUGGCCAUAUGUGUAUUUUCUAAAAACUACGCGUCCUCAACAUUUUGCCUUGACGAACUUGUCCACAUCCAUCAAUGUUUUAAGAGAGAUGGACGGAGAAUUUGGCCAAUCUUUUAUGAAGUGGAGCCCUCAGAAGUGAGACUUCAAAAAGGGAACUAUGCACAAGCUUUGGAUGACCAUAAAAUUAAAAACAGAGUUGAUGAAAACAAGAUGCAAGGUUGGAAGCUUGCACUACAUGAAGUGGCAAAUAUCUGUGGCAAACAUCUCAUGCCAAGGCAUGGUCCAUAUGAAUAUCAAUUAAUUGAAGAGAUUGUGAAAGAAAUCUCUAGCAAAAUCAACAGGCUCCCCUUACACGUCGAUGAUUAUCUUGUUGGAAUAGACCAUAGAUUGCAACAAAUAAACCCUCAAUUACAGCUUGAAUCAAAUGAAGAGGUCAUCAUGUUUGGAAUUUAUGGAAUAGGGGGAAUGGGUAAAACAACUAUAGCUCGUGUCAUGUAUAACUCAUUGGCAGAUAAUUUUGAAGGUCUAUGCUUCCUCCAUGAUAUUAAAGGAAACUCAAGUAGUUUGGAAAGAAUGCAAGAGAGAAUACUUUCAGAGAUUUUAGAGAUGGAGAUUAAAAUUGAAGAUGUGAACAAAGGAGUUACAAUUAUAAAAAAGAGGCUCAAACAAAAGAAAAUCCUUUUGAUCCUUGAUAAUGUUGAUAAGCAUGGGCAAUUGCAAAAAUUAGCCGGUAACUGUGAUUGGUUUGGUGCUGGUAGUAGGAUCAUUAUUACGACGAGGGACAAACAUUUACUUGAAAAACAUGGAGUUGAGAGAAAAUAUGAGAUUGGAGCAUUGAAUGAUGAAGAAUCUCUUAAAUUAUUAAGUUGGAAAGGUUUUAGAAGUAUGCAAGUUCAUGCAAGUCACAAGAAAGUUGUGGAAAGUUUGAUGCAUUAUGUGCAAGGUCUUCCCUUAGCACUAGAAGUUAUAGGCUCUAACUUGCAAGGUAAGACUGUGAGGGAGUGGGAAUCUGCAUUAAAUCUAUAUGAAAGAAUUCCCAAUGAAAAAAUUCAUCAACUAUUGAAAGUAAGCUACAAUGGCUUAGAACCAGCUGAAAAAGAAAUUUUUCUUGAUAUUGCUUGCUUCUUCAAUGGCUUCGUGAAUGGAAGUUUGAACUAUGUUGAAGAAAUGGAGAAACUUGUUCACAAUAUUGAUCCAUACUAUAGUAUUAGCGUGUUGGCAGACAAAUGCCUUAUAAAGAUUCAGGAUGGUUGUAUUAAGAUGCACGAUUUAAUACAAGAUAUGGGAAGAGAAAUUGUUCGUCAAGAAUCGCCAAACGAGCCCGGAAAACGCACUAGGUUAUGGAUCAAUCAAGAUAUCGUUCAUGUUUUGGAAAAAAAUACAGGAUCAGAAGAAGUUGGUAUUAUAAUUUCAAGAGAUCAAUCCAAAUGUAUAGAAGUGAAUUGGGAUGGAAAAGCCUUCAAGAAGAUGAAGAAUCUCAAAAUUCUUAUGUUGAAUCAGAAUAUGAAGUUUUUAGAAGGCCCCAAAUAUCUACCUAAUAGUUUGAAAGUGUUGAGAUGGCCGAGAUAUCCUUCAUCAUGUUUGCCACUCAACUUUCAUCCAAAGGAACUUUUUGAAUUGGAUAUGGGACUUGGUUGUCUAAAGUCAGUAGAAAUGAUUAAGAAUGUCUCAAAUCUGAGUGUUUUGAAUCUUGGAGGUUGCCAAUACAUUACACAAAUACCUAAUUUAUCUGGCCUCUCAAAUUUAAAGGAAUUGUGUGUUUACGGGUGCCAAAAUUUAAUUGCAAUUGAUGAUUCUGUUGGAGAAUUAACAAAACUUGAAACCUUGGAUGUGCAAGCAUGUGCAAAACUUAAAACCUUUCCCCAUGGUAUCAAGUCACCGUAUCUUCAAAGGCUCGAACUUUCUGGUUGCAAAAGCCUGAAGUACUUUCCAGAAAUACUAGAGAAAGUGCAACUAACUGAACUGUCUUUUUGGGAAACUGGAAUAGAAGAACUUCCUUCAACUAUUUGCAAUCUUACUCAACUUGAGGAGAUAACAAUUAGUGGGAAAGUUGAGCCACCAAGUAUGGAUUUUCUGUUGCUAGAACAAUGUGAUAAUUUUGAUGAAGGUUGUGGAAAGUUGCUGAAGGAAGUGAUUCUAUUUCCAAACUUAGAUAUUGUUGACCUCACAGAAUGUAAUAUAUCAAGCAGUAAGAGCCUUCAAAGUUAUCUUUCUUGGUUCUCCACCAUGAGAGAGUUGAACUUGAGCAACAAUGACUUUAUUACAAUUCUGCCAGCAUGCAUAAAAGAAUGUCGCUUUUUGUGGAGGCUUAGUUUAGGUUGGUGCAGGCAUCUGCGAGAAGUGGAAGGGAUUCCACCAAACAUAAAACAGUUGGAUGCAGAAGGUUGCAUAUCAUUGAGUUUAGAGUCGAGAAACUUAAUCUUGAGUGAGCAGCUAAUUAUUGGGGCUGCAGUGAUCAGAGAUGUGGAGAUUGUUGAUGAUGAGUGUUUUGAAUUUCUGAAAACAGAAUUCGUUGUGCCAGCAUCAAGCAUUCCAGAAUGGUUCCAUCACUGUAGCAAAGGAGCACCUUUUUCAUUUUGGUUUCGUAACUCCUUUCCAACUCUAUGUCUUUGUGCUCUUCCUAAAUUUAAUGGUGACAUGGAUUACAAACAUAAAUUCAUAGAUUUGGUCCCUAAAGUAGUAAUUAAUGGAGAAAGAAUAUCUACGAUAUUGGACAAAUAUGAUACCACAUUGUGGUCAGGAAGUUUAUGGGAUCAGGAACAUAUAAUCAUCUGUGAUCUUCGAGAGGAAUACUUUGAUGGAGAUGAUGAAGUAAUAGAUGGAUUACAAGAAGGUGUGUGGCAUUAUGUGGAGGUUUUCUUGUCAUUUUCUCCAUCACCACCUGAUUGGAUGGGUGUUGUGAAAGAGAGUGGAAUCUAUAUACUGAAACAAGAUUGUAACAUGGAAGAUAUCCAAUUCACUUGUCCUAAAUUUAAUUCAAUUCCCAUGAAUAUUGUCCAAGAAGAGCAACCAAUGCUGAAAAAGAGGCGGUUGAUGGAAGAUAAUGAUCUUAUUUCAAUUCAAGAUUCCAUGAGUGUUGACCAAGAACUAGAAACCCCUGUUUCAGGUAAGAAGGAUUUCCAUAGCAAUCUUCUGCAGCUACAAGAAAUUGAAUACGAAAGCAAAAUGCAGACAAUAAACAUUCAAUUUUCAAGUAGCGAAAGUGAAGAAUCAGUUAAAGUAAGGAGGCUAAAUAACAAUAUGCCACAUCAACAAGAUGAAGCUUUAACCAGUGAUCAAAUCACAGAGAGCUGUGAAUAUGUCAUAAAUGGCAAAGGAAAAGACAUUGUACUCUACAAAGAUGAUCCCAUUAAUGGCAACAAUAUAACAGAGAUGAUCGGACAAGACUACCUAUAUGACUCAAAUACCAAAGGCAGCAUGACAUGGGAUCCAAUGGAAUGUGAACAUGAAGGAACAAGUCAUGCUAACAAUAAUAAGGAUCCAUGUGACCAGAGAAGACAUCAUCCAUGGUUUUUGUGUUUUAAUCUCUUCACUUUCGUUGCCUCGCUCUGUUCUUCUUCUUUAUCAUAUUUCUCCAUUACAAGAAACUAAAAUGAAUUAUCAUUGGACUCUUUAAUUUGAACUCCUUUGUUAGAUAUAAAUUCUGGGCUCUAGACUCUUGUAAUGGUUUUGGUAUCAAGAUUUGGCUCAUUUUAAUUCACUGAAAAUUGUUUGAUGUAGAAACCUUAUUCAUAUGAUUUACAUUCUAAUUAUUGACAUUCUAAUUAAUUGUUUGAUAUUAAUGAUUUCUAUGUUAAAAGAAUUUUAAUUAUUUACACUCUAAUUUUCUGUCCACUUGUAUAUGUAUGCAAGCAUGCGUGUCAAUAAUGAUAGUCCUUCCACAGAAGAGCAACCAACGCUAAAAAGAGGUGGUUGAUGGAGGAUAAUCAUGUUAUUUCAAACAAGACUCCCUUGUUUCAAGUAAGGAGGAUCUCCAUAGCAAAUUUCUACCGCUACAGGUAAUUAAGCUCAUUUGUUUUGGAUUUUGAGACAUUUAUUAGAUUUUUGGUGGAUCAGUCUAUAAGUCUUCUUGAGUUUUCACAAAUAUUGUGUAGGAAAUUGAAUAUGAAAGCAAAACACAAAUAAUAGACAUUCAACCUCCAAAUAGAUCAAAUGAAGAAUUGGUUCAAAUAAGAAAGCCAGGUAUGAAUAUGACGCAACAAAAAGAUAAAGCUUCAACCAAUGAUCAAAUCACAAAGAACUUUGAAAAUGUCAUAAAUGGCAAAGGAAAAGACAUGUUACUCGACAGAGAUGAUGCCAUCAAUGACAACAAUAUAACAGAGGUAUAUGUUGUAACUAAUUUAUAUCAUUUUGAAGAUUAAUUAGGAAAUUUCUUCAUAGGUAUUUUGUCAAAUGAGGAACAUAUACAUUUACAUUAAAAAUCAUAUAACUUGUUUUCUGGUUGAAAUUGAAUCAUACCAUUUUUAUUAUAUAGAAAAUAUGAUGUUUUCAGCAAUGGAAGAGCACACAUAUAAUAUAUCCUAAGCAUUUAGCAAUAUGAUGUUUUCACCAUUGCCAGUAUUUUUUUGUCAUUUGCCCUUCUUUGAUGUGUAUGUUUGACUGUUUUUUUUUUCAGGUGGGAGAUUUAGAGAUAAAUAAAUAAAUUGAGUAUUUGAUAAAAACACACAUGCAUACACAUAAAUAUAGGGAAAAUAUUCAGAAUACGUGAAUGGUAGGGUUGCAAUUGUGAAAUGCUACUAGUUGAUUAACUUCUUUUUUUCCCCCCUUGUUGCCUGAUCAGAUGACUGGACAAGAUAACAAAUAUGACUCAAAUGGCAACAUGACAUGGGAUCCAAUGGAAUGGGAAGAAUAUGAAGCAACAAGUCAUGAUCAUAUUAAUAAUAAUAGGAUCAACAUGAACAGAGAAGAGAUCAUCCAUGGUUUUUGUGUUUCCAUCUCUUCACUUUCGUUGCCUCGCUCUGUUCUUCUUCUUAAAUAGAUCUUUCUCCAUUACAAGACACUAGAAUGAAUUAUCACUGAACCUUAUUUAAUUUGAACUCUUUUUUUAGCUAUAAAUCCUGGACUUUGGACUCUUUUGUAAUGGUUUUGGUUUCCUCAUAUUUUGAUGGCAAAUUAACACUGA
Prosopis cineraria is the source of this 5644-nucleotide RNA transcript. It is a transcript of the gene named TMV resistance protein N-like, with no coding region annotated. Lineage: Eukaryota; Viridiplantae; Streptophyta; Magnoliopsida; Fabales; Fabaceae. The record is from RefSeq and is a predicted model, not a curated record. The transcript has 12 exons.